AUUGAACGCUGGCGGCAGGCCUAACACAUGCAAGUCGAGCGGAAACGAUCCUAGCUUGCUAGGAGGCGUCGAGCGGCGGACGGGUGAGUAACGCGUGGGAAUCUGCCGAGUAGUGGGGGACAACUUAGGGAAACUUAAGCUAAUACCGCAUACGUCCUACGGGAGAAAGGGGGCUUCGGCUCUCGCUAUUCGAUGAGCCCGCGUCAGAUUAGCUAGUUGGUGGGAAAGGCCUACCAAGGCGACGAUCUGUAGCUGGUCUGAGAGGAUGAUCAGCCACACUGGGACUGAGACACGGCCCAGACUCCUACGGGAGGCAGCAGUGGGGAAUAUUGGACAAUGGGGGCAACCCUGAUCCAGCCAUGCCGCGUGUGUGAAGAAGGCCUUCGGGUUGUAAAGCACUUUCAGUUUGUGAGGAAGGCUAAGUGUUAAUACCUGCUUAGAUUGACGUUAACAACAGAAGAAGCACCGGCUAACUUCGU
RNAcentral lists this ribosomal RNA (479 nucleotides) under uncultured bacterium. RNAcentral's name for it is "bacterial SSU rRNA". It matches the Rfam family "Bacterial small subunit ribosomal RNA", at positions 30 to 506 of the family's 1533-position model. The record is from RNAcentral.